GUGAAACGCCAUGGCUUCCAAUACGAGGGGAACAGAGUAACCCCGAGGUUCGAAGUAAAACUCAACGCUACUGUUUGGCCACUGAGAAAAGAGGGGAAACUAGCGAAUAUCUGUAAAUGGAGGAGACGCUCAAGUGUUUGGCAUUGUUAGUAGCUGGAGCUCUUCUCGACGCCGUUUCAACAGUCGCUCUUCUAAAGCUUCUUCCAGGAAGGGUCCUGAGGCCACAUGAUAGACAUUCCGUAGAAUUGAACGAUCUCUCGAACAGCGCAAUCUGCCCAAGCCUGCAGGCGACAAGUGCCACAGAUUCGAUGGACUACAGCACUUUAUAGUGCCUUCGUGAAUGCCAUUAACGCUCUUGGUGGCCCUGAAAGUGUGAUCCUCCUUUCUCCAUAUCAUUUCAUUUUUCUUCCAUGAAGGUUUAUAGGCUUUAUAUAUGCUUCGUCUAUAUCUCACUUGUACAAAACUGAUCCGCAGGGCGAUCCAGAAGAUGUUCUUGAGCUGAUGAAUGUUGAGGACUUGACCCUUGCUCAUGUUAAAAGCCACUUGCAGUUUAUCAACAAUAUUGGAGGACCCUCAAUGAAAAUCUCUUAUUCGGCUGAAAAAAUAACAUCUCAUCACUUGAAAAUGUAAGUAAAUUUCUAUAUAUUUUGAUAUGUAGAAGAGUUUUUCCAUCAGAUAGAAGAUGCUUAAUGGCUGAGAGGGAAUGCAUAAUCAUGUCAAAUGUGCAUCAUAUCAGUCCCAACAGUUCUAAUAACCCGGCAGAAAAUUAUAUCUGCCAAAAGGAAUAUAUUACCGUAGAGGUAACAAAUGUCAAUGCAGAGAAGACAAAUGUAUCAUUUUUCAAAAUUUUCAAGGCAACUUUGGAGCAACUCUUUGCUAUUGCCAACUUCGUGUUGGAGCUUCUGGCAGCUGUUUUUGAUCAACUUUUGUCUUCUGAUAAGCUGCAGUGUGCACUAAUUAGUAUGUCGAUAUCUUUUGUGGGGCCAUGUUCAUCUGCAUCGUUGAGUUCGUUUACGAAGGUAGACGCCAAAAAGUAACAUGGAGAUGGAGAGGCAGGAGAUCUUCAUUUUGCUAUCCAUCUGCAAGUCAAAUGCUAUUUGGUACUUUCACAGAUAUCACUGGAUUAAUCUGUGCUGGAUUUCAGUUCAUCUUUGCAGCGAUCAAUUAUGGGUUUUUAGGCCGCCAUGUUAAUAAUCCUAUAUAAGAUAUCUGUAUGGCUUAUUAUGUUCUGAAUUUUUCAAGGAUCCUGAAAAGAAGAACCUUUCGUAGAAGGGAGUUUAGGUUCGAGGCAAUAUAGAUACUGGUAUAUAUAAACAGAAUAUGAAGUGCAAUAACAUUAAUUUUCUUUUUAUGUGAAAUUAAUUUCUAAUUCUACUUGGAAUGAAAUUUGAUGGAAUUUGAAUUA
Carica papaya (papaya) is the source of this 1405-nucleotide non-coding RNA. The record is from RefSeq and is a predicted model, not a curated record. NCBI's taxonomy places the organism in Eukaryota, Viridiplantae, Streptophyta, Magnoliopsida, Brassicales, Caricaceae.